This 515-nucleotide ribosomal RNA is filed under the name uncultured organism. Its description in RNAcentral is "bacterial SSU rRNA". It matches the Rfam family "Bacterial small subunit ribosomal RNA", at positions 28 to 530 of the family's 1533-position model. The record is from RNAcentral.
GAUGAACGCUAGCUACAGGCUUAACACAUGCAAGUCGAGGGGAAACGACAUUGAAAGCUUGCUUUCGAUGGGCGUCGACCGGCGCACGGGUGAGUAACGCGUAUCCAACCUGCCCAUCACUUGGGGAUAACCUUGCGAAAGUAAGACUAAUACCCAAUGACGUCUCUAGAAGACAUCUGAAAGAGAUUAAAGAUUUAUCGGUGAUGGAUGGGGAUGCGUCUGAUUAGCUUGUUGGCGGGGUAACGGCCCACCAAGGCGACGAUCAGUAGGGGUUCUGAGAGGAAGGUCCCCCACAUUGGAACUGAGACACGGUCCAAACUCCUACGGGAGGCAGCAGUGAGGAAUAUUGGUCAAUGGACGAGAGUCUGAACCAGCCAAGUAGCGUGCAGGAUGACGGCCCUAUGGGUUGUAAACUGCUUUUAUAAGGGAAUAAAGUGAGUCUCGUGAGACUUUUUGCAUGUACCUUAUGAAUAANGACCGGCUAAUUCCGUGCCAGCAGCCGCGGUAAUACGGAA